UAUAUAAUGUUAAUAUCUUGAUAAAUAAUAUUAAAUAAUUUUUCAUCAAAUCAAGUGUUGUAAAAUUUAUUUAUCUGCAUGAAAAGUAAUUUAUUCAAAAGUGAAGUGUUAUAACAGACAAAUUGAUAUUACUACUACAACAAUUGUUAAACGACAGUUCAAUGAGUGUCGAAUAAGACGGUCAAGUUCCUUUGAGUUGCUAAGAGAGAAAAAUAACGACAAAAUGUGUGAAACGGUACCGAGAACAUGGUUAGGCAAACCAGAAUUACAUUACAGUAGCAUAGGAGUUCCUGCAAGUUCACUAUCACCUCCUGCUACCCUCUCGCCGCCAAGUAGUCCGAGUAUUUUGCCAACUUCACCCUGGAGUCCAGGUGGUCUCACCGGUGGUAGUAAUAGCUCCUGCAACGGAAUCCAAAAUCCACCGACGGCUGGUCAGCUUGCACCUGACCAACGAUUCGGGGCCUUCACCUUUGUAUCCAACUAUAAUUCUGAUUUAAAACUUCAGAAACAAACACACACUCCAGAAGCUACAUCAAGAAAUCUUACAGACAUGUGUUGUGGUUUGAUGUAUGGUGGAUACGGCACAACCUGGUGGGCUCAUCAUGCGGUGGGCCUUUUGCUGCCUCAUUCUCUUUUACCGCCACGAAUUCCUUCGCAGUCGACGACAUCCACAACUGAAUGCACGCCAAUUCAUCACGAACCAGCUAGUCCAGCCAAAGCAACCUCACCCAUCAGAUGCACACCCGAUCGAUCUCCAUUCGUUGUUGAAGGUGCUGCGCGUUUUUCAGAAGAUGAAGUACCAUUAAAUCUUAGCACAAAACCAAAUGAUGUAUCGUCAAGUAUUAAUCGCAAGUGCGAGAUAUGGUCACCAGGUUCAGUAUGUGAACGUGAAGCGAGGGAAACUACUACUCAGAAUUCACCGUUAACUACCACACCAAUAAUAACACGGCAGAUUCACCAUUCACCCCUCACACCUCCAUCAUCUAACGAGCGAACAUUUCAGUGCAAACAAUGUGGUAAAGCGUUUAAGAGAUCUAGUACAUUAAGCACGCAUCUUCUCAUUCACUCAGAUACCCGACCUUACCCUUGUCAAUACUGCGGUAAAAGAUUCCAUCAAAAGUCUGAUAUGAAGAAGCAUACGUAUAUUCACACUGUACUUACAGAUCCUUCUUUCUUCACCUCUCCUCGCGAUCAUCUCCUACUAUGUGCCCAACCCAAACGAUAGACUUAUACCUUUUCCGCAAACUAUAUUGCAUUUACACGAUGAUACAGCCAACCAUAUUACAGUGAGAUCUUUAGUCAAGGAGAGAAGCCACAUAAAUGUGUCGUAUGUGGAAAAGCUUUCUCACAAAGUAGCAAUUUAAUAACACAUAUGAGAAAGCAUACAGGUUACAAACCCUUUCAAUGCGGACUUUGUGAUAAAGCAUUUCAAAGAA
This 1436-nucleotide unclassified non-coding RNA is filed under the name Chelonus insularis. RNAcentral's name for it is "zinc finger protein 13-like, transcript variant X2". Lineage: Eukaryota; Metazoa; Arthropoda; Insecta; Hymenoptera; Braconidae. The record is from RNAcentral.